AUAUUACUUCCUCCGUCCGGAAUUACUUGUCACGGAAAUGGAUAAAAGUGGACGUGUCUAGAACUAAAAUGCGUCUAGAUAAAUCCAUUUCCCCGACAAGUAUUUUCGGGCGGAGGGAAUAUAUU
Molecule: non-coding RNA, 125 nt
Organism: Triticum aestivum (bread wheat)
Lineage: Eukaryota; Viridiplantae; Streptophyta; Magnoliopsida; Poales; Poaceae
Source: Rfam